This 72-nucleotide transfer RNA is filed under the name Helicobacter canis NCTC 12740. It matches the Rfam family "tRNA". From Rfam's summary of the family: Transfer RNA (tRNA) molecules are approximately 80 nucleotides in length. Their secondary structure includes four short double-helical elements and three loops (D, anti-codon, and T loops). The record is from Rfam by way of RNAcentral. Lineage: Bacteria; Pseudomonadati; Campylobacterota; Epsilonproteobacteria; Campylobacterales; Helicobacteraceae.
GCGGGAAUAGCUCAGUGGUAGAGCACAACCUUGCCAAGGUUGGGGUCGCGGGUUCGAUCCCCGUUUCCCGCU